This 301-nucleotide unclassified non-coding RNA is filed under the name Funneliformis mosseae. Its description in RNAcentral is "partial contains 5.8S ribosomal RNA and internal transcribed spacer 2". The stretch from base 1 to 71 matches the Rfam family "5.8S ribosomal RNA", at positions 84 to 154 of the family's 154-position model. The record is from RNAcentral. Lineage: Eukaryota; Fungi; Glomeromycota; Glomeromycetes; Glomerales; Glomeraceae.
GUGAAUCAUCAAAUCUUUGAACGCAAAUUGCGCUCCCCGGUAUUCCGGGGAGUAUGCCCGUUUGAGGGUCGUUAGAACAAAAAUCGAAGCGUCGCUCUUUUUUUUAAGGGUGAUCGCGUCGGAAUUGAGCCGUCUUUCAAAUGUUAAUGCAUGUCAAAGUGGCUUAAAAUUCAUCCAUCCGGUACGAUUAGAGCGUAUUUAAGAUCAAUUUUGAUUAAGAACGCGCGAUGAACGUACCAUCUCAUGUAGUACGUUUGACCUGGGUCAUCAGGUUCAUUCGUAUACGAUACUCGAACUUUUG